CUGAGUGCGGGCCCUCUGGGUCCAACCUCCCACCCGUGUCUAUUAUACCUAGUUGCUUCGGCGGGCCCGCCGUUAGGCCGCCGGGGGCAUCUGCCCCCGGGCCCGCGUCCGCCGAAGACCCCAACAUGAACCCUGUUCUGAAGUUUUGCAGUCUGAGUUGAUUCUUGUAAUCGUUAA
Molecule: unclassified non-coding RNA, 177 nt
Filed under: uncultured Ascomycota
Lineage: Eukaryota; Fungi; Ascomycota
Description: sequence contains ITS1
Source: RNAcentral